AGCGUGCUGCACACGGGGGCUGCUAUGCAAGAGCAGUAUUCUCAAGCGCCACCACCAUGAAGUGAUAACAGAGAUCUUCCCAGUAAGUGAUGGAAAUGGCCGUGUGCCCAUUGGGGCUGGAGCUGAGGACCCAAACCUGAAUCCAUAGGAACUGUUUGCAAAGGCUGCGUGAGCUUCCAAGUUGGAGUUUUGUCUGGGGGAGUAAUGCAUCCUCUGGGCACUGCAGGUUGAAGAAUAUCAUCAGCUCAGCUCUGGGCACUUUCCAUGGUGAAGUCAUGAAUCUGCACUGAUUGAAGCCCAGUUCUGCAUCACUUCCAUCAGACUGGGGAUUUAUAGCAGUGACCAUUAACCUUGCAGGAAAAAUCAGCAAGCAGACAUUCCGUUACAAUAGGAACAAAUGGUAAAUGAUGGCAUUAAAGGUAACUUUCCAUUACUUUUGGUGAUAUGAACCAGAACUACUUUUA
This 464-nucleotide long non-coding RNA is filed under the name Phasianus colchicus (ring-necked pheasant). Its description in RNAcentral is "lncRNA (ENSPCLG00000006335.1)". The record is from RNAcentral. Lineage: Eukaryota; Metazoa; Chordata; Aves; Galliformes; Phasianidae.